Molecule: non-coding RNA, 229 nt
Organism: Paramuricea clavata
Lineage: Eukaryota; Metazoa; Cnidaria; Anthozoa; Malacalcyonacea; Plexauridae
Source: the annotation of a GenBank genome assembly
UUGCUAAAAUUGACUGGGAAUACUUAGAGAUUUCAUCGUAGAAUGGCGUAGUUAUAUUCAUUUGCUCUUUGACUAAAAUGUUUAGCUGUAUUAUUGCUAAACAUGCCGGUUUUUUUUAUUUGGUUUGCAACUAGGUUUCAACAUCCAACCACGCCAUCAGCCCAUUGAAAACAUUAGAUCACGUCAGCUAGUUUCCUAUCCAUUUAUUUUAUUAUCCAUGUUAUUACUA